This 611-nucleotide ribosomal RNA is filed under the name uncultured Boletaceae. RNAcentral describes it as "eukaryotic LSU rRNA". The stretch from base 240 to 394 matches the Rfam family "5.8S ribosomal RNA". Lineage: Eukaryota; Fungi; Basidiomycota; Agaricomycetes; Boletales; Boletaceae. The record is from RNAcentral.
UUUCCGUAGGGUGAACCUGCCCUAAGGAUCAUUAUCGAAAACGAAACGAGAGGGGGGGGAGGGGGAAGACUGUAGCCAUGACCACCGGGCGUGUGCACGCCUCUCUCUCUCUCUUUCUCUCGUAUCCCAUUACACACACCUCGUGCACCCUUUGUAGGUCUCUCGACGAGAGGACCUAUGUUUUCACUUCAUUCUCCAUGUCGUAUGUAUCAUGAAUCAUGUUCGAUAUAUGAAAAUACAACUUUCAGCGAUGGAUCUCUUGGCUCUCGCAUCGAUGAAGAACGCAGCGAAUCGCGAUAUGUAAUGUGAAUUGCAGAUAUUCAGUGAAUCAUCGAAUCUUUGAACGCACCUUGCGCUCCUUGGUAUUCCGAGGAGCAUGCCUGUUUGAGUGUCAUUAAUUUCUCAACCAUCUGGGCUUCGUUGACCUGCAUGGCUUGGACUUUGAGGGCUUGCCGGCCUUCGAACCAUGGUUUGCACUGGUGAAUCAUGGUCGUCACGUCGGCUCUCUUGAAAUACAUUAGUGGAAUCGAAUCGACUUGCAAUCUCGGGAUUCGUCUCGUCGACGUGAUGAUGAUCGUCGUCAGGACCUUUGUGUGAUCGGGACCCUCGGG